CAGAUGGUUUUGUCUUCUGCGAGGGUUUCUUAACCUUCUCAGCUUGCAACUCCCAUACCUCCUCCGAGGGCUACAGUUUCCUUUUCAAGCAUGUUGUGCAUGUGUCCUCUGCAACAAAAUUAUCAAUGGUUGUAUUAACUUAAAAAUAAGAAAGUAAAAAAGAUUAACUAUAAGUUAUCUAUUAUCAAGAUUCAUACAGAAGUCUUAACUAAAUUUCACAUUCUCUUUCCAUUGCAAGGUCAAAUCAAGUUUCCCAGUAAAGAUAACUGUUAGCACUACGAAAGGAAAAAUCCAAGGAUUCCUAGCAGCACUAAUGAGCAAAUGGAACUCUUAACCGUUCUGCUUCAGUGUACAUAGUGAUUUCCCUACAUCAUCAGAGACCAAGUUGUGUUUUACAAUUGAUCUACAAGAGCAACUUCACUAAAUCGAAAAUCUGAGGCCUAACAACAAUAAGGCAUACAUAUUUGCUAAUAAAAAGCUAAAUCUUUGUUCGUUCCAAGAAAAGAGUCCUCUAUUAUAACUGAACAGCAGACGUUAUUCAUGAACAAAGAAUAAAAAUCACGUUUGCUGCAUAUGUUUUCUAUUAAAACAGAUAUUUUCUGUUCUCCCACCAGUGGAAUAUGCGCUAUAUUUUGAAUUAAUUUUUUUAAUUGUGUAAUAUUUGAGAACAUUGUCUUUCACGCACUACAAACACACAUAAUAAAACAUAUAGACUAUUUUGAGUUAAAUUUAUAAUAGGUGUAAUAUUUGAGGACAAAGUCUUUCACGCGCUUCAAACACACAUGAUAAAACAAUAGAUAAGUCGAAUAGGGAAGAUAAAACAUAAAAUGGCGAUAUGUUGAAAACUAAAAGAUAAAUGCACUCAAAAAACAAACAAAACAUAAGAUAACAAAAACAGAACAAAGGCAAUUUGUGGUAUCUUUGGACUACUUGAAAUAUUAAAGUUAUCCUCCUACAUCUAAAGCAAAGUUAAACUCUACUGUUAGAGAAUCGGAAGGAACCUCUAUUUUCUCGAUUAAUAAAUAGAAUUUUCUAAAAGCAUCUCCACAAUGGAAAACAAAAAUGCAUAAAAUGUGAAAAAUUAAAGUUUAACCUAUCUACAGUAAUCUAGAGUACAACGUAUCUGCACAAACGAAACACGAGUUGAUUUAUAAAAAUAUUUCCCAGGCAAAUAAGCAUUCGGAGCAUCUAAUUACAAUCUUGAGUAUCAAAAAGCACAAGUCUCCUAACUGGGUAUCUGAAAUAAAAAUUGUGGACUUACUCUAAACAAAAAUGAGUCAGGCAUAUCAUCUCUUUGGGUGCAUAGUCCGUUUCAAUGAUUAUUAUUAUUAAUAAUCACAUUAUGAAACAGGAAAAAGCAUAGAGAUUGAAACUCAAACUGGUAAAGCAAUCAUACCAUGCGUAUAUUGGCAGUAACCACAGAUCAGCCCAUCCUCCCUCUCUUGUUGUUCAUCUCCAAUUUCAGAAUGCAUCUUUAGAUAGAUUAAUCUGCAGAAACAAAAAUAGCGUAAAUCAAGAGUCCCAAUCUUCGAACGAACUUUGAUACUAAUUUUUUUUUGAUAAUACCGUUUAAUCCUGAACUGAUUAAUUAGUAGCAGAAGACAAAUUUUAUCAAAAAACCAUAAUAAAUGAGCAUAUCAGGAAUACUUACUGACAUGUAUGUAAAAAGUCUAGAAAGAAUUAUGCAAAACAGAAGAAAGCUAACAUUCACCAAUCAAAAUUUGGUUUAGCAAUAGAAGAAGUGCAAAACAUAGAGAAAACUGCACCAAACAACUAACUAAAUUAGAGAGCUCGCAGCAGAUUCAAAUAGAAAAAAGAUUAAAAAACUAUUUGCAGGGGCCAAUAGGAGAA
RNAcentral lists this long non-coding RNA (1851 nucleotides) under Nicotiana benthamiana. RNAcentral describes it as "long non-coding RNA (NBEN_LNC026849)". The record is from RNAcentral. Lineage: Eukaryota; Viridiplantae; Streptophyta; Magnoliopsida; Solanales; Solanaceae.